CCUACGGGCGGCAGCAGUGAGGAAUAUUGGUCAAUGGACGCAAGUCUGAACCAGCCAUGCCGCGUGCAGGAAGACGGCUCUAUGAGUUGUAAACUGCUUUUGUACGAGGGUAAACGCAGAUACGCGUAUCUGUCUGAAAGUAUCGUACGAAUAAGGAUCGGCUAACUCCGUGCCAGCAGCCGCGGUAAUACGGAGGAUUCAAGCGUUAUCCGGAUUUAUUGGGUUUAAAGGGUGCGUAGGCGGUCGGAUAAGUUAGAGGUGAAAUCCCGAGGCUCAACUUCGGAAUUGCCUUUGAUACUGUGCGGCUAGAGAGUAGUUGAGGUAGGCGGAAUGUAUGGUGUAGCGGUGAAAUGCUUAGAGAUCAUAAAGAACACCGAUUGCGAAGGCAGCUUACCAGGCUACUUCUGACGUUGAGGCACGAAAGCGUGGGGAGCAAACAGGAUUAGAUACCCGAGUAGUC
This 460-nucleotide ribosomal RNA is filed under the name uncultured bacterium. Its description in RNAcentral is "partial 16S ribosomal RNA". It matches the Rfam family "Bacterial small subunit ribosomal RNA", at positions 338 to 795 of the family's 1533-position model. The record is from RNAcentral.